RNAcentral lists this ribosomal RNA (434 nucleotides) under uncultured Lachnospiraceae bacterium. RNAcentral's name for it is "bacterial SSU rRNA". It matches the Rfam family "Bacterial small subunit ribosomal RNA", at positions 341 to 792 of the family's 1533-position model. The record is from RNAcentral. Lineage: Bacteria; Bacillati; Bacillota; Clostridia; Lachnospirales; Lachnospiraceae.
ACGGAAGGCAGCAGUGGGGAAUAUUGCACAAUGGGGGAAACCCUGAUGCAGCGACGCCGCGUGAGUGAAGAAGUAUUUCGGUAUGUAAAGCUCUAUCAGCCGGGAAGAAAAUGACGGUACCUGACUAAGAAGCACCGGCUAAAUACGUGCCAGCAGCCGCGGUAAUACGUAUGGUGCAAGCGUUAUCCGGAUUUACUGGGUGUAAAGGGUGCGUAGGUGGUAUGGCAAGUCAGAUGUGAGAACUUUGGGCUCAACCCAAAGCCUGCAUUUGAAACUACCAAACUAGAGUGCAGGAGAGGAAAGUGGAAUUCCUAGUGUAGCGGUGAAAUGCGUAGAUAUUAGGAGGAACACCAGUGGCGAAGGCGGCUUUCUGGACUGUUACUGAUACUGAGGCACGAAAGCGUGGGGAGCAAACAGGAUUAGAUACCCUGGUA